Molecule: long non-coding RNA, 702 nt
Filed under: Canis lupus dingo (dingo)
Lineage: Eukaryota; Metazoa; Chordata; Mammalia; Carnivora; Canidae
Description: lncRNA (ENSCAFG00020000091.1)
Source: RNAcentral
AUGGAGGGGAACUGUGACAUCCCAGACUGACCUUCAGCUCAGAGGCUCAGGAGGUCAGUCCUAUUGGGUGACGAUGAUCGGAUUUCGUGAGAAUCCGACACAAAGGACUCAGAGGCAGAUCGAACCACCGAAAGCUCAGACUGUUAGACCACGGGGGUACCUUCCUGCGCGGCCUGCGGACACCGGCCGCACUUCGCCAGUCGGGCAGUGGCACAGCUUACGUGCAAGCGGCCCCAGCGCAUGUCUCAUAGAAUCAUGUCGGCAAGGCCAUCCCAACCUCUCUACUGAGCAGGCCCUACAGUCUCCGUGGCCUCGGGAAACAAGCUCCUACCCCACUCACUCGGGAGCGAACACCGGUGACCGGGGCUGCGCUGCGGACUUUUCUCCACGUUGACUUCGAGGAUUCAGCCCUUUUUCUGUCUCCUGUCCUGCUGCCGUUGAAGGCAGGGGUUGGCCAACUAUGGACUGUGGACUCGUCACUUAUUUCAUAAAGUUUCAUCGGACACAGCGUCGAAUGUUCGCGUGUUGCUCCUGCCUCUCUGCCCGGAGGACGGAGCCGAGUGGCUCUCCCAGCUCCUGACGUCGCAGCAGGACAACCCGCCACGGCUCCGCUGCAGAGAAGUUGGCCAGCUUUGCUCCUGGGCCGGUUUGUCCGCUGCCUCGAGCCUUCAGGAAUAAAAGAGCACAGAGAACUUAGGAACA